UACGUAGGGGGCAAGCGUUGUCCGGAUUUAUUGGGCGUAAAGAGCGUGUAGGCGGCCAAGCAGGUCAGCUGUGAAAACUCGAGGCUCAACCUCGAGACGUCGGUUGAAACCGUACGGCUAGAGUCCGGAAGAGGAGAGUGGAAUUCCCGGUGUAGCGGUGAAAUGCGCAGAUAUCGGGAAGAACACCCGUGGCGAAGGCGGCUCUCUGGGACGGUACUGACGCUGAGACGCGAAAGCGUGGGGAGCGAACAGG
This 253-nucleotide ribosomal RNA is filed under the name uncultured bacterium. Its description in RNAcentral is "partial 16S ribosomal RNA". It matches the Rfam family "Bacterial small subunit ribosomal RNA", at positions 524 to 776 of the family's 1533-position model. The record is from RNAcentral.